Molecule: long non-coding RNA, 1162 nt
Filed under: Sinocyclocheilus anshuiensis
Lineage: Eukaryota; Metazoa; Chordata; Actinopteri; Cypriniformes; Cyprinidae
Description: lncRNA (ENSSANG00000028553.1)
Source: RNAcentral
GCACAUCUUUUCGCCCUUAUGUUCUGCAGGAGAUGUUAUCCUUCCUGAUCCGCCGGGAGCCAACACUUCCAACAUUCCUCUCAGUUCUCCUCUCCUUCAUCCGCCAUCCACCUCAGCGAAGAAGGAAACGUCAGACCUGACAAGCUCCUUUGCCCGUUCUCGCGACUCCUUGGAUCUGGCCUGCGAGGAUCCUCGCUCUAAAGACAGCAAGAGGGAGAAGCGUGCCAAACCACCAAACACCAGCUCUUCCAGAGUCCCGCAGCAACGGCGCAUCAAGAGUCGGUCCGCUGAGAAUCUCCUUGAUCUCGGAGAUACAGAGAAAUCCAAAAGCCCAUCCAAAGACAAAGCUUGCAGCCACAAAGAAAAUCUGCAACAAAGCACUCGAGACUCCCACAAGAACAGAAAGUCUUGCCAACAUAGUCGCUCAGUCAGUCCCCAGAAGUCAAAGCGUGAAGGACAGGAAGUAGUAAUUGGCGAAGCGCAGGGACGGAAAAAGGAACGUCGUGUGAAGGGGAAAGCGAGCGUGGACCAGAAGAAAAGUGACGCUGAAAGAAGGAAAAAACAGGAAUCUAGAGGAAGGAAACUAAAUGAGACCCAAGAAGGGGAGGAGAGGUGGAGAGCUGAGAGAAAAGUGAAAAACAAAGGAGAGGAUGAAGUGCUUGAGCCAAAAGGGGAAAUGGAGCUCAAAAGCACCCGAAAGAAGAAAAAACAGAGAGAUAGAGACAUGCGAAAUGAGGACACCCACAUAUCGAGCAGAAAGGGAGACAAGAAGAGCAGACAAACAAAGGAUAAGGGGGAUCAAAUGGAAGAAAACAGGAAGGAAAUGAUUACAGAUAAGAAUGAAAGCAAAAGAAAAGGAAAUGAGAGCGAAGACAGGAAAGACGACAUUGUCACCACAGAUGUGGCUCCAGUCACCACCAGGGCGAGUCUAGUCUUUGACCACCCUGGACCCUUGAGCGACGGCCUUUGGGAGAUCCCUAGUUUUGCACGUAUCCUCACGCACGAGGAAGCGAUGCGAGAUGUUUGCGAAUAGUUUGGCGAUCCUUGGGAAUAGAAGGUUUAAGGCCAGAAACAUACACAAGUACGUGAAUGCAAACGCUUCUAGCUGUGAUUUCACACAGUUCAUCAUGGAUUGCAAAUUGCAUUCUCAACAUUUCAGCAC